AGCGAUAUCACGGUGAAACACUGUUUCCCGUACGAUCACAGAAGUUAAGUAAUGUCAUGCCUGAACAGUACCUGGAUGAGUGUCUUUUUAGGAAUACCAGGUUCUGUCG
Acanthosepion pharaonis is the source of this 109-nucleotide non-coding RNA. NCBI's taxonomy places the organism in Eukaryota, Metazoa, Mollusca, Cephalopoda, Sepiida, Sepiidae. The record is from the annotation of a GenBank genome assembly.